UUAUGCUUUUCUCUAACCUAGCUCUUCUAGAUCAUGUGAUAGAAAUGGCACCUCAGAUACAGACUAAAGUAGUAAAUUAUUCAUCUAUAUGUGAUUUGCAUAUAAUUCACAUGGUAUUUAUUAUUAAAGGUCAAAAUGGGAGCCAUAGUUCAGAUUGGAAAAAUUAUUUGUUGGACACACGUAUCCAGCCUCAGAUUUGGCUCUUCCCCAUCCUCAUCUUUCCCAAGCCAAGGGAGUGGAUGCGAUCCACCAGUUCCUGCUUGCUAUCCAGUGCCUCAUCCAGAUUCUGUUCCAAGAUGUCCUUCUCUACCUGGGACAUGGAGAGAGACAGGAUGGCCCCAGAGUCAAGAACACUUGAAUUUAAGUCCUGCUUCUGACAAAUACUGGCUGUGUGACCUCGAGGAGAUGACAGCUUCUCAGUGGCUCCAGAUCUCUAGACCACGCUGCUGCCUUCUUAUCUGUGAUGCCUUCUUCCCUGGGAUGCUUCUAUACUACCAAUGGAUGUGGUGCAACUGAGAGAAAAAGGAAAAUUGUUCCAGUGAGGCAUGAAGCAAGUGCCUGUAUAUUUAUGGGCAGAGUCCAUGAGUUUGCUCUUGGGACCAAGCCAAGAGACUACACCUUGUACUCUUUCUUACAAUAACAGAUCUGUCCUUCCAGUAAAUAUCUCUAGGCUGGGGGGGGGGGGCUAAAUCAUACUUGGAAACUGAGGGACUUUAAGCUAUAAUCUCAGAUAUUAUUUGAUCCUAAUUAACUCAUUUCUUUUCUUGGGUGCCCUGAUUAUCAACCUGUGCAAGGUAAGACUACUGAAGCAUUUAUCCAUUGGUCUGUAGAUUAACCUGUACCCUCUGUACUUUGAGCAGGAAGGAACCAAGGAUAAUCCAAUGGAAAUUUACACCACCUAAUUUGUAGAGGUCAGUUUGGUGUCCUGGCAUUCUUUUAAGAUGAGGGUGUGGCUACUUCUAAGCAAGUUGGGCAGAUUCUUGCACUGUCAAGCUUCCAGGAAAUGAAAUAUCUGAGUAUGAGGGAUCCAUGAUAGGGUUUGCAAGAAUGUGGAACAAGAGCGGAUCACAGCUAUUAAUGUCUUGGUGGGGUCAAUUAGCAGUAAAGGGCCUUUUGUGUUGACUGCAGCAGAAACUAGGAGUCGUAGAGGUAGGUGAUUAAUUUAUGCAGUAGGAAAUGAAGAAAGAGACAAUGUGUGUAGGGGGACAGGAGAAGGAAUCCCUUUCAGGCACAGAUUCUUUUAGUCACACCUCACUUCAAUGAUUCCAUUCUUGUAAAAUGAAAAAUGACAGGUAACCUUUCUGAUACCUAGCAAAUAGGAGGAGAUCAAGCAGCUCUAUAUCAAGACGAAACUUGUCCAAUCCACCAAAACUCGAGUCUCUUUUCAUACAGUAGAUACUUAAUAAAUGCUUUUUGAAUUUAAUUAAAUUUUAUUUUACAGCUUAAAGUUGGCCUUUAUUAAUUCAGUCUCUUCUCUAACUUGAUUUCAUCUUCUCCCAAAGCUACCAUAAUUAUUGUAUUAUCUGUUUUGUCUCCCCUUAUUAAAGUUUUUUCUUAAUUUUAUUGUCAGUUCCAAAUUCUCCCCCUGCACCUCCUUCUCCACCCAUUGAGAA
Phascolarctos cinereus (koala) is the source of this 1613-nucleotide non-coding RNA. NCBI's taxonomy places the organism in Eukaryota, Metazoa, Chordata, Mammalia, Diprotodontia, Phascolarctidae. The record is from RefSeq and is a predicted model, not a curated record.